Molecule: long non-coding RNA, 1415 nt
Organism: Meriones unguiculatus (Mongolian gerbil)
Lineage: Eukaryota; Metazoa; Chordata; Mammalia; Rodentia; Muridae
Exons: 3
Source: RefSeq, a predicted model, not a curated record
ACUUGCUGUGGUGCUGUGGGAGGACCAAACCCAGGAAGUCACUGAGAGCUUUUCUCUCUCCACAGGGAAGAGCUGACCUCACUGCAGGAUAACCCUGGAAAAAGUACCCCUGGCUUCCAAGGACAAACAGACCCUUGCACUUCACUGCUGAGCUUUCUACCUGGUGCACACAUAUAGAGAGACUGUGUUGGAGACAGACUGAGGUCUUGUGUGCACAGCAGGCACUUCUGUGGUGGGGCAUCCCCCAAGCCCCUGAAACCAUCUUUAUAUGAAGAAAUGCAGACACACAGGGACAGUCCACCCUGAGGACAGCAGCCAAAGUCAGCACAGGACACAAGCCUCUGGAAGCAGAGAGCAGCCAGAUUUCCACCACCAGGAAGCUAUUCAUCAACUGGAUGUCUUGUUCAGUGCCCCGCCUAUACAUCUGUUUGAAUGAAGCAGGCCUGGGCAUUCAACUUCUGAACCCAGCUUGAAGAAGACCAGGGAUGGAAGAUAAGAAAAGCCCCACAGAGAAGCCUUGACAAGCACCCUGCUUAGUGUUCCUGUCUCCUAAGGUCACUAACUGCUUUCAAAUGACCCUUUCAUUGACUGCCAAGAGCUGCUCCCAUGUGACCCCAGUCUUCCCCAGGAAAGACACUUCUGUUUUCCAAGAGUUGAAGCCUAGGGCCGUCUUGAAGGUGGGAGCUAAUAUGGGAAGACUGUUCACAAUAAACAGACAAUAACAUGUUGCCCAGCAUGUUGCCCAGCGUGCUCAGCCCAGGGACAGAAGCAUCUAGGGCAUGCCAGAUCUAGAGACUGAACAGAUGACGGGCAGAGGGAGCCUGGAAUGGGUGACUGAGUCCAGAGUCUGCAGGGUCCUGGUCACUCCCUAGCCUGGGGGCAUGCUUCCCACACAUGGACGUCUCCUUGGCUGGCACCGAACUAGCUUUCUGGGUGUGUGACUGCAUAGUUACAUGGGCUCUGCUGCUGGGAAGGGUGGGGGUCCUGCUGUCUGAGAUUCUUGGUGAAUUUUAGAUAAGCCUUACAGAUGCACCGGGUCCUGCUAAGCACAGUGACCAGGUCAGUGCCCUGAGCAUCCUCUGUGCUCUCCAGGGGCAAGGUCCAGAAAGGCAGCCACCCACUCUUGGGGAAUACUUGGAGUUUGUCAUUUUUACCAGGGUUGGGAGGCAUGAGGGUGAAUUCACUUGCCCUUUUCAGUUCCCAGGUGGAGAACUGAAACCCGAAGGGGAGGAAUGCAUCCAAGAUACUGAUUCUCACAUGGGACAAUACCAAAUGUUUUUGGCUUUUCAAGGCAGGUUGUAUAGCCUUGGCUAUCCUGGAACUUGCUUUGAGGACCAGGCAGGCCUCUAACUCAGAGAUCCACCUGCAUUUUCCCCCCAAAUGCUGGGAUUAAACCAAAUAUGUGUGUAUAUUUA